CUCGACCCCAGCCCCCCACCAUAGCUAGAUUGCCGCUCAAUGAAUGGUCGAGGAGGAGGUGGUGGUGGCUGAGAGUAGUACCCAGGGUAGUAACUGGAGUACGGAUCAGAGUAGCCGCCGUAAGGAUACAAAUGCGCCGGAGGAGGCGGUGGAGAUGGAGAAGCAGGUGGCGGUGGUGCCACUACAGGCAGCGGAGGAGGAGGAGGGUGUGAGGAGUACGGAGAAGGAGAAUAUGAUCUAUAGGAAGGCGGCGGCGGAGGGGCAGUAGAGUAAUAAUAGCUAGAUGGAGGGGGUAUCUGGUAAUCCUGGGGAGUUGGAGAUUCACGAAUAGCAAUCUUCAGUCGG
This 345-nucleotide long non-coding RNA is filed under the name Nicotiana tabacum (common tobacco). RNAcentral describes it as "long non-coding RNA (NTAB_LNC001300)". Lineage: Eukaryota; Viridiplantae; Streptophyta; Magnoliopsida; Solanales; Solanaceae. The record is from RNAcentral.